AUUGAACGCUGGCGGCAUGCUUUACACAUGCAAGUCGAACGGCAGCGCGGGCUUCGGCCUGGCGGCGAGUGGCGAACGGGUGAGUAAUGCAUCGGAACGUGCCCAGUAGUGGGGGAUAGCCCGGCGAAAGCCGGAUUAAUACCGCAUACGACCUGAGUGUGAAAGCGGGGGACCGAAAGGCCUCGCGCUAUUGGAGCGGCCGAUGUCUGAGUAGCUAGUUGGUGUGGUAAAGGCUUACCAAGGCGACGAUCCGUAGCUGGUCUGAGAGGACGACCAGCCACACUGGGACUGAGACACGGCCCAGACUCCUACGGGAGGCAGCAGUGGGGAAUUUUGGACAAUGGGGGCAACCCUGAUCCAGCCAUGCCGCGUGCGGGAAGAAGGCCUUCGGGUUGUAAACCGCUUUUGUUCGGGAAGAAAUCCUCUGGGCUAAUACCCCGGGGGGAUGACGGUACCGGAAGAAUAAGCACCGGCUAACUACGUG
This 484-nucleotide ribosomal RNA is filed under the name uncultured bacterium. RNAcentral describes it as "partial 16S ribosomal RNA". It matches the Rfam family "Bacterial small subunit ribosomal RNA", at positions 28 to 507 of the family's 1533-position model. The record is from RNAcentral.